RNAcentral lists this long non-coding RNA (316 nucleotides) under Aquilegia coerulea. RNAcentral's name for it is "long non-coding RNA (ACOE_LNC000995)". Lineage: Eukaryota; Viridiplantae; Streptophyta; Magnoliopsida; Ranunculales; Ranunculaceae. The record is from RNAcentral.
AGUUGGGAAUGGAGUCCAGGUAAAUGUCUGGACAGAGCCAUGGACAAUAUGGCAAGGAAGUCCUGUGAUAUUGCGUAACCUUAUGGAAGUCCCUGAUGGGAUGAACGCUCUCUCUGUGCAUCAACUUAUUGAUUUAAAUUCUUUUUCAUGGAAUUUAGAAAUGAUCCAUAACAUGUUCCCUCGCCCAUUAUGGAAUAGUAUUACUAGUAUAAAUAUUAGAAGACAUAGUUCUGAUGAGAUUAUUUGGUAUUGGGACAGGAAAGGGAAAUAUAGUGUUAAAAAUGCCUACCACUUAGAAAAUAUGGGUUUGAAUGUU